UCCUCGGUAGUAUAGUGGCUCGCAUACCCGCCUGUCACGCGGGAGAGACCGGGGUUUGAUUCUCGCUGGGGAG
Molecule: non-coding RNA, 73 nt
Organism: Trichonephila inaurata madagascariensis
Lineage: Eukaryota; Metazoa; Arthropoda; Arachnida; Araneae; Nephilidae
Source: the annotation of a GenBank genome assembly